Molecule: non-coding RNA, 4374 nt
Organism: Lepisosteus oculatus (spotted gar)
Lineage: Eukaryota; Metazoa; Chordata; Actinopteri; Semionotiformes; Lepisosteidae
Source: RefSeq, a predicted model, not a curated record
UAAUUGAUCUCAGGGUUUCAUCCAGCUGUUUCUUGAAAUAAACUAGGGUGUCUGCUUCAACAAUGUGGCAGGAUAGCUCGUUCUGUACUCCUGUAAGGCUCUCCUACUAAAAGCAGGCCCUCUGGAUGCUUCCACAUUAAACACACGGAGUAUAACAGCAGCAAUUCAGUUGCUGCUCCAUAGUCUCUGUGAUGAAGGAUAUCACCCUGGUUAACGCUCAGGUUUAUCCCAAAGCCAGUGUCAUGCAAUCCACUGCUGGCACAUUUUUUCUAGCUGUUGGUCCCGACCAUGUUCUUUUCAACUGAGCAGAGAAGGACUGUUACAACAAUCACCAUUGCAAUAUUUAAAACAUUUCUAGUUAACUAACGAGAACAUCAUUUUGCAUUCAGAGACAUUGGUGAGUCGGGGCUGUGAGUGGCGUAAAAGGAGUUUUGAUGAAUCUCGCUUCCCUGCAGGGGCCACACACAUCACAAAGUAGGAGGGGGCCCGUCAGGCAGGAGCUCUGCAUCACAUCGUGGGGUAACUGGGGCAGUAGCCUGAACUGUGGCUGGGGCUGUGGACCGGAGGGUUUUGAAGGGUUAAAAAUUAUUUCUCUAUAUAGCAUGUUCAGAAAAACACUAGUGGCAACAUUAAAGUAUCUGCUACUGAUAAGACUAGGGGUCUGCAGACACAAAGAAUGCUUGUUUAAAGAAUCCCAAAUUUUGUAUAGAAGGCCAAUUAUAACUACCUGCUUGUAGAAAACAUCGAUACAGUUCAAUUACGCAGACAUCUCCUGAUUAAAGCAGAGGUUUGCUUAACCAAUAGAAAUUGUUUGAAGUUUUCUUAUUUUUUAAACUUAAAUUGUAUUUCUUAUGUAAGUGUAUAAAAGGUCAGCUGUAACUUUCCUUAUGGGAAUAAUCUCCCCAAUUGCAGGGAAAGUGCUUCUCCUUAGCUGAAUAGACUAUAAACUCCACUUCUGCUCAACAAAAUGGUCUCUAGUGCAUUUUUACUCUACAGUUUGCUAAUACUGGAGCUGUAAGUGAUGACUCUGCUGGUGCCUUUGUCAAUGAGAAUAAAUCCUGAAUGGAUGCAUCUGGUUGAAAAAAGUUUUUUUUUAAUAAAAAUACCUUGAGGUGAAUAGGACAUUUGGGUGAUUUUCUGCAUUUAAAGUUUUAUAUGUCCUUCAGAAUCCUGUCCUAGGACAGGGGCUGGGGACAAACUCCACAAUGGAUCUCCAUUGUCAUUAAGUGUAGUGCACUACAAAUUGGAUGGAUUCAUUAAACAAUUACCUCAAAGUAUUAUUUUUUAUUACAUCUCUGUUAUCUGUUUUCCUGUUAAUCUGGAAAGUUUAUAAAUACUUUACAACUUCAGCUGGUUUCUUAAGAACUUUCUUGUAAGCUCCUUUCUCAUAAGCAAGAGCUGAUGCAAAACUAAGGACUCAAAAUUGGACCUUAUUUGCCUUGUGGGCAUGUAUUAGGGUUAGUCCACUCUAUAUUAGAUUAAUAAGAAUGUCCACAGGGCAUAUUAACCCUGCCAUGACUCCAGGACUUUGUUAGAUAUGGAUUCAGGGUAAUACACGAACCCUGCAGUUCUGUAACUCCAGGAGCAGGCUGGUCAGUAGAGCUCUGGAGAGCUGCUGGACUUUUGUUGUUUAUUUUGGAGUCAGCUUUUUUUCUCCUUAUGACUGAUGCCUUGGAAUAUUGUGACCCCAAUCCAAAUCAAAAACUAAAUUUAGAAAACUACACAUUGCUUUGUCCUAGUCACUCAUUUUUAACACUGGUAACCCUUAACCUUCGCAAAAUAAAAAAAAAAAUUAAUACAGACCAGCUUGUUUUCCACACAACAUUGGAGAACAUCACUCAUAUGGUCUGAGUACUAAGGGAUUGCUGAAAAACUGGACAACAAACUUACGGAACUGGAUUUCCAAAUCUGGGAAGUAUACUAGUUUUGUUGGCACAUCUUUUCUUGUGUCACUUCCUAUUACAUAAAAAAUGUGUGGAAUUUUCCAGAUUUUUCCCGAUUAGUUUUAAGGAACCUCUUUUGAUAUGUACUGUAUGUGCAAAAUCUUUGUAGCAUAAGAGAAAAAUGGGUAAGAAUUUAAACAUGCAAUUUGAUCCAAAGAUAUUUGUGCAUCUGCAUUCUUCUAGUCUCCGUAAUUGCUUUUUAUUAAGGGGUACAGGAUAAUCUUUCAUAUUUUGUUGGCGUUUUAACUGUGAGAUAAGUGUGGUUGAGACAGCCAUUGAUGUACAGUAGCAUUAACUCAACACUUUAUCACAUUCAUCAUAGAAAGAGACGUGUAAAAGCAACUCCAUUAAGUUGUCAUAGAAUUAGUGACAUGGAUUUAAAGCUUAUAGAAUUGUGUAUUAAGACUUUCCAUGUCUGCAAAGCCAUAAUCCCAUUUCUGUCCUUUUACAUCUCUUGUAAUGCAAAGGCACAAUCUCAGGAGACUCUAAAGACACUUUAAAUUCUUAUUCUUGCACAGUUCCUAUGCAAUAUCCUAUGAUAUUAAGCGAAUUAGACUAUUGUAUGUGAAUAAACAUCUUUGGUAAAUUUGGUUUAAUAAAUUGUGUAUACAAAUUACUGUAGCUUUAUUGUACCUAUCUGAAUUGUAGUUUUUGCAGCCAGUGCACCUCUCUCUGGAUGAGGCCAUCUAAAUUAAAUAAACCCUAACUCGUUGGUCUAAUAGAGACUGAUCGUUAUGUUUGGGGUCUCUACAUUUGAUCUACAGAUCAGAUGUUUGAUUACAUUCUGGGCAUGUUUAUCACCUUUCUGACCUGUACAGUGCUGUGAAAAUAUUUUGUUUAUGGAUACACUAAUCAUCUAGAUAUAUGCACUCUAAAUGUUAACAAGUAGAGUCGUCGUCUCGCUUCUGCUGGGAUUAUGGCUGUAUGCUCUGGUUUUGUCUGCUUUUAAAUACAGUAAGUCAACAGCAAGGGAAAAUCAAUAUAGAGAUUUGCAGGAAGUAGUACUGUGGGAAACUGAGAUGUUUAUCAUUUUAUUUACAAUGUAAAUGUCCAUUCUGUGAAGAAUACAUACUGUUGAACUGUGAAAAUAUUUAUCGGUUUUAAUCUGUUAUCUCAGGAGGGGUGGUGGAAGUAGUGUAUAGCUACCUGCAUGAGGACCGCACUAUCAUUCUCUAUCCAGUAAUUAUCUCCUUUUCUUUUGAACUGAGUUGAACUCAGUUUUCAUCUCUUCUCAAAAGGACCUUUACACUGUAUCUUUGAACCGGAACAUGAUGCAAACAGACUAUCACAUUUAAGUGAUUUUUAAAUAGAACCUUGCUGAAGGAUUAAUCCUGGUCUUUGAGGGAAGCACAGGGUGUGGAUUUGUUUAGCCUAGAUAAGCUAUUUACAGCUCAGAAAGGACAGUUUACCUCCUGUUCAAAGGGAGAGUCUGAAAGCGACAACAGUAGUGCAGCUCAUCGCUGGUUUCUUCUGUUGUAUUUCUCUCCCACACACACAAAAAAAAACUAAAAGCUCAACAUUUCAUUUUCCUUUGGUGUCCGUGCUGUCUUCAUAGGGUUGUUCAUAAUUGCCUGUUUUUUCAUUCCUGUGUCUUAUGUUCUGAUAGGUCUCUAACUACCUUUAAAUUUUAUAGGUUAAACAUGUUUUCAGCAGCUGUACCUAAAGAGGUCAGAUGCUAAAACCCCUUCCCAUGUGCAGUAGUCAGCAAAAGUGAUCAGUUUUAGUGUGAUGGGUAAUUCAGGGAACAACUGUACUAAGAAAAUAGGAAAUUUCAUAUACAGUAUGUGAAUGUACUGUUUUGAAACCUGGAAGCCCAUUAUACAGGAAAGGCAACUAAAGCAGGAUCUAAUUUCAUAAUUCUUUCAGCUUAUUCUGCAUCUACCAAAUCAUUUGUGGUUCAACCCCACUAUUGCACCUCACAUAGUCCUACAUCGUGUUGAGAUAAAGCCUUGUUCAAGACACUGUCAGCCCCUUCCGCAUCUCCUAUCAGCUCAAACUGUGUUUCUUUUGUACAUCUGUUUUCUUCUUGUACAUUAUGGAGAGGUUGACACUAGUCAGCGAAAAUAAUUAAAAAGCUAGUUAUCUCAUCACUUAAAUUGAAGAGAAACACCUUAACAAUACCUAGUUUCACUUCAAACUGCUCCUGUUUCUGUCUUACUGUUUGAGCAGCAGGAUUGCAUUGGCAUUACAGAAGAGGUGAGUGCUGGAGACAGAAGCAAACAUUACACACAGAAGGCAUGGAUGUUUUCUCACAAAGGUUUAGGCUUAGGCUAAACAUACCUAGAUAAUCAAGUACUUUUAAAACACUUCUUCCAGUAAAUCAAAAACAAGGGAGAUGGAAGAUCUAAAACACAUAAGCAAUUUUUAAUAAGUUUAUAUACAUAAAGUAAUAAUUCACAGAAAUAAAUCAAUUUUACAAAGAAAAUGACAA